RNAcentral lists this ribosomal RNA (498 nucleotides) under uncultured bacterium. RNAcentral describes it as "partial 16S ribosomal RNA". It matches the Rfam family "Bacterial small subunit ribosomal RNA", at positions 28 to 523 of the family's 1533-position model. The record is from RNAcentral.
GACGAACGCUGGCGGCGUGCCUAACACAUGCAAGUCGAGCGGAGUCAGUAAGAGGAAGUUUUCGGAUGGAAUCUUAUUGAUUUAGCGGCGGACGGGUGAGUAACGCGUGAGCGACCAACCUUACACAGGGGGAUAACGGACCGAAAGGUUCACUAAUACCGCAUGAGACCACGGUGUUGCAUGACACAGGGGUCAAAGGAGCAAUCCGGUGCAAGACGGGCUCGCGUCCGAUUAGGUAGUUGGUGGGGUAAUGGCCCACCAAGCCUAUGAUCGGUAGCCGACCUGAGAGGGUGAUCGGCCACAUUGGAACUGAGAUACGGUCCAAACUCCUACGGGAGGCAGCAGUGGGGAAUAUUGGGCAAUGGGGGAAACCCUGACCCAGCAACGCCGCGUGAAGGAAGAAGGUUUUCGGAUUGUAAACUUCUGUCCUUGGUGAAGAGAAGAAGACGGUAGCCAAGGAGGAAGCCCCGGCUAACUACGUGCCAGCCGCCGCGGUAA